UACGAAGGGGGCUAGCGUUGCUCGGAAUCACUGGGCGUAAAGGGUGCGUAGGCGGGUUUUUAAGUCAGGGGGGAAAUCCUGGAGCUCAACUCCAGAACUGCCUUUGAUACUGAAGAUCUUGAGUCCGGGAGAGGUGAGUGGAACUGCGAGUGUAGAGGUGAAAUUCGUAGAUAUUCGCAAGAACACCAGUGGCGAAGGCGGCUCACUGGCCCGGUACUGACGCUGAGGCGCGAAAGCCAGGGGAGCAAACGGG
RNAcentral lists this ribosomal RNA (253 nucleotides) under uncultured bacterium. Its description in RNAcentral is "partial 16S ribosomal RNA". It matches the Rfam family "Bacterial small subunit ribosomal RNA", at positions 524 to 776 of the family's 1533-position model. The record is from RNAcentral.